Molecule: ribosomal RNA, 600 nt
Filed under: uncultured archaeon
Lineage: Archaea
Description: bacterial SSU rRNA
Rfam family: Archaeal small subunit ribosomal RNA
Source: RNAcentral
GGACGGCUCAUUAACACGUGGUUAACAUACCCUCAGGUGGGGGAUAACCUUGGGAAACUGAGGAUAAUACCCCAUAGAAAAAGCAGUCUGGAACGAUUCUUUUUCGAAAGCAUAUGCGCCUGAGGAUUGGACUGCGCUCGAUUAGGUAGUUGGUGGGGUAAUGGCCCACCAAGCCUACGAUCGGUACGGGCCUUGAGAGAGGAAGCCCGGAGAUGGGGACUGAGACACGGCCCCAGGCCCUACGGGGCGCAGCAGGCGCGAAACCUCCGCAAUGCACGAAAGUGCGACGGGGGGAUCCCAAGUGCUCAUGCACAGCAUGGGCUUUUAUCAAGUGUAAACAGCUUGAGGAAUAAGGGCUGGGCAAGUUCGGUGCCAGCAGCCGCGGUAACACCGACGGCCCGAGUGGUGGCCACUUUUAUUGGGCCUAAAGCGUCCGUAGCCGGUCCAGUAAGUCCUUGUUUAAAUCCUGCGGCUUAACCGCAGGACUGGCAGGGAUACUGCUGGACUUGGGACCGGGAGAGGACAAGGGUACUUCAGGGGUAGCGGUGAAAUGUGUUGAUCCUUGAAGGACCACCUAUGGCGAAGGCACUUGUCUGGAAC